This 764-nucleotide ribosomal RNA is filed under the name uncultured Streptococcus sp. RNAcentral's name for it is "bacterial SSU rRNA". It matches the Rfam family "Bacterial small subunit ribosomal RNA", at positions 28 to 776 of the family's 1533-position model. The record is from RNAcentral. Lineage: Bacteria; Bacillati; Bacillota; Bacilli; Lactobacillales; Streptococcaceae.
GACGAACGCUGGCGGCGUGCCUAAUACAUGCAAGUAGAACGCUGAAGGGAGAGCUUGCUCUUCUGGACGAGUUGCGAACGGGUGAGUAACGCGUAGGUAACCUGCCUGGUAGCGGGGGAUAACUAUUGGAAACGAUAGCUAAUACCGCAUAACAGUAAAUGUUGCAUGACAUUUGCUUAAAAGGUGCAAUUGCAUCACUACCAGAUGGACCUGCGUUGUAUUAGCUAGUUGGUGGGGUAACGGCUCACCAAGGCGACGAUACAUAGCCGACCUGAGAGGGUGAUCGGCCACACUGGGACUGAGACACGGCCCAGACUCCUACGGGAGGCAGCAGUAGGGAAUCUUCGGCAAUGGACGGAGGUCUGACCGAGCAACGCCGCGUGAGUGAAGAAGGUUUUCGGAUCGUAAAGCUCUGUUGUAAGAGAAGAACGAGUGUGAGAGUGGAAAGUUCACACUGUGACGGUAUCUUACCAGAAAGGGACGGCUAACUACGUGCCAGCAGCCGCGGUAAUACGUAGGUCCCGAGCGUUGUCCGGAUUUAUUGGGGCGUAAAGCGAGCGCAGGCGGUUAGAUAAGUCUGAAGUUAAAGGCUGUGGCUUAACCAUAGUACGCUUUGGAAACUGUUUAACUUGAGUGCAAGAGGGGAGAGUGGAAUUCCAUGUGUAGCGGUGAAAUGCGUAGAUAUAUGGAGGAACACCGGUGGCGAAAGCGGCUCUCUGGCUUGUAACUGACGCUGAGGCUCGAAAGCGUGGGGAGCAAACAGG